GUUUCCGUAGGUGAACCUGCGGAAGGAUCAUUACAGUAUUCUUUUGCCAGCGCUUAAUUGCGCGGCGAAAAACCUUACACACUAUGUUUUUUUAAUUUGAAACUAUUGCUUUGGUCUGGCUUAGAAAUAGGUUGGGCCAAAGGUUUUAUCAAAACUUCAAUAUUUAUUAUUGAAUUGUUAUUUUAAUUUUAUUGUCAAUUUGUUGAUUAAUAUCAAAAAUCUUCAAAACUUUCAACAACGGAUCUCUUGGUUCUCGCAUCGAUGAAGAACGCAGCGAAAUGCGAUAAGUAAUAUGAAUUGCAGAUUUUCGUGAAUCAUCGAAUCUUUGAACGCACAUUGCGCCCUUUGGUAUUCCAAAGGGCAUGCCUGUUUGAGCGUCAUUUCUCUCUCAAAUCUUCGGAUUUGGUUUUGAGUGAUACUCUUAGUCAGACUAAGCGUUUGCUUGAAAUGUAUUGGCAUGAGUGGUACUAGAUAGUGCUGAACUGUUUUCAAUGUAUUAGGUUUAUCCAACUCGUUGACCAGUAAAGUAUUUGUUUAUUACACAGGCUCGGCCUUACAACAACAAACAAAGUUUGACCUCAAAUCAGGUAGGACUACCCGCUGAACUUAAGCAUAUCAAUAA
RNAcentral lists this ribosomal RNA (622 nucleotides) under Dujonia oleophila. Its description in RNAcentral is "eukaryotic LSU rRNA". The stretch from base 227 to 380 matches the Rfam family "5.8S ribosomal RNA". Lineage: Eukaryota; Fungi; Ascomycota; Pichiomycetes; Serinales; Debaryomycetaceae. The record is from RNAcentral.